AAGUCGUAACAAGGUUUCCGUAGGUGAACCUGCGGAAGGAUCAUUAGAAAGUUUGGCGGAAACGCCCUACCUUCAAACCACUGUGAAACCACCACGUUGCUUCGGCGGCUUCCGCGCCCCUCCCGGGGGGUGCCGGCUGUCAGCCCGCCAGAGGCCCAAAAACCAAACCAUUUUCUGUAACUGUCUGUCUGAUACAAUAAAUCUUUAAAUUUAUUAAAA
RNAcentral lists this unclassified non-coding RNA (219 nucleotides) under plant metagenome. RNAcentral's name for it is "partial contains small subunit ribosomal RNA and internal transcribed spacer 1". The stretch from base 1 to 46 matches the Rfam family "Eukaryotic small subunit ribosomal RNA", at positions 1786 to 1831 of the family's 1831-position model. The record is from RNAcentral.